CAGCAGCCACGGGAAUACAGAGGGUGCGAGCGUUAAUCGGAUUUACUGGGCGUAAAGCGUGCGUAGGCGGCUUUUUAAGUCGGAUGUGAAAUCCCUGAGCUUAACUUAGGAAUUGCAUUCGAUACUGGGAAGCUAGAGUAUGGGAGAGGAUGGUAGAAUUCCAGGUGUAGCGGUGAAAUGCGUAGAGAUCUGGAGGAAUACCUAUGGCGAAGGCAGCCAUCUGGCCUAAUACUGACGCUGAGGUACGAAAGCAUGGGGAGCAAACAGGAUUAGAGACCCCAGUAGUCCCUGUCUCUUAUAC
This 301-nucleotide ribosomal RNA is filed under the name uncultured bacterium. RNAcentral describes it as "partial 16S ribosomal RNA". It matches the Rfam family "Bacterial small subunit ribosomal RNA", at positions 509 to 807 of the family's 1533-position model. The record is from RNAcentral.